CCCAGACUCCUACGGGAGGCAGCAGUGAGGAAUAUUGGUCAAUGGGCGCGAGCCUGAACCAGCCAAGUCGCGUGAGGGAUGACGGUCCUACGGAUUGUAAACCUCUUUUGCCGGGGAGCAAGGGCGGGGACGUGUCCCGGCCCGGAGAGUACCCGGAGAAAAAGCAUCGGCUAACUCCGUGCCAGCAGCCGCGGUAAUACGGAGGAUGCGAGCGUUAUCCGGAUUUAUUGGGUUUAAAGGGUGCGUAGGCGGAAGGUUAAGUCAGCGGUCAAAUGUCGGUGCUCAACACCGGCCUGCCGUUGAAACUGGUCUUCUUGAGUGAGCGAGAAGUAUGCGGAAUGCGUGGUGUAGCGGUGAAAUGCAUAGAUAUCACGCAGAACUCCGAUUGCGAAGGCAGCAUACCGGCGCUCAACUGACGCUGAGGCACGAAAGCGUGGGGAUCGAACAGGAUUAGAUACCCUUGUAU
Molecule: ribosomal RNA, 466 nt
Filed under: uncultured bacterium
Lineage: Bacteria
Description: bacterial SSU rRNA
Rfam family: Bacterial small subunit ribosomal RNA
Source: RNAcentral